AUCUAGGCUCUUGCAUCGAUGAAGAACGUAGCGAAAUGCGAUACUUGGUGUGAAUUGCAGAAUCCCGUGAACCAUCGAGUCUUUGAACGCAAGUUGCGCCCGAUGCCAUUAGGUUGAGGGCACGUCUGCUUGGGUGUCACAUAUCGAAGCCUCCUGCCAAUUUC
This 164-nucleotide ribosomal RNA is filed under the name Lathyrus hygrophilus. RNAcentral's name for it is "5.8S ribosomal RNA". The stretch from base 1 to 139 matches the Rfam family "5.8S ribosomal RNA", at positions 18 to 154 of the family's 154-position model. From Rfam's summary of the family: 5.8S ribosomal RNA (5.8S rRNA) is a component of the large subunit of the eukaryotic ribosome. It is transcribed by RNA polymerase I as part of the 45S precursor that also contains 18S and 28S rRNA. Functionally, it is thought that 5.8S rRNA may be involved in ribosome translocation. The record is from RNAcentral. Lineage: Eukaryota; Viridiplantae; Streptophyta; Magnoliopsida; Fabales; Fabaceae.